RNAcentral lists this ribosomal RNA (351 nucleotides) under Escherichia coli 2-156-04_S1_C3. RNAcentral describes it as "bacterial SSU rRNA". It matches the Rfam family "Bacterial small subunit ribosomal RNA", at positions 8 to 355 of the family's 1533-position model. Lineage: Bacteria; Pseudomonadati; Pseudomonadota; Gammaproteobacteria; Enterobacterales; Enterobacteriaceae. The record is from RNAcentral.
AGAGUUUGAUCAUGGCUCAGAUUGAACGCUGGCGGCAGGCCUAACACAUGCAAGUCGAACGGUAACAGGAAGCAGCUUGCUGCUUCGCUGACGAGUGGCGGACGGGUGAGUAAUGUCUGGGAAACUGCCUGAUGGAGGGGGAUAACUACUGGAAACGGUAGCUAAUACCGCAUAAUGUCGCAAGACCAAAGAGGGGGACCUUCGGGCCUCUUGCCAUCGGAUGUGCCCAGAUGGGAUUAGCUUGUUGGUGGGGUAACGGCUCACCAAGGCGACGAUCCCUAGCUGGUCUGAGAGGAUGACCAGCCACACUGGAACUGAGACACGGUCCAGACUCCUACGGGAGGCAGCAGU